UACAGAGGAGCCAAGCGUUGUCCGGAUUGACUGGGCGUAAAGGGCUCGUAGGCGGAUCGUUAAGUGCCUUGUGAAAUCCCACAGCUUAACUGUGGAACUGCUUGGCAUACUGGCGGUCUUGAGCCAUCUAGGGGUUGCUGGAACAAACGGUGGAGCGGUGAAAUGCGUAGAUAUCGUUUGGAACGCCCAUGGUGAAAACAGGCAACUGGGGAUGUGCUGACGCUGAGACACGAAAGCCAGGGGAGCAAACGGG
This 253-nucleotide ribosomal RNA is filed under the name uncultured bacterium. RNAcentral's name for it is "partial 16S ribosomal RNA". It matches the Rfam family "Bacterial small subunit ribosomal RNA", at positions 524 to 776 of the family's 1533-position model. The record is from RNAcentral.